UACGUAGGGUGCGAGCGUUGCCCGGAUUUAUUGGGCGUAAAGGGCGCGUAGGCGGCCACCGCAAGUCGACUGUGAAAUCUCCGGGCUUAACCCGGAAAGGUCAGCCGAUACUGCGGGGCUAGAGUGCAGAAGGGGCAACUGGAAUUCUCGGUGUAGCGGUGAAAUGCGUAGAUAUCAGGAGGAACACCGAUGGCGAAGGCAGGUCUCUGGGCCACUACUGACGCUGAGAAGCGAAAGCAUGGGGAGCGAACAGG
Molecule: ribosomal RNA, 254 nt
Filed under: uncultured bacterium
Lineage: Bacteria
Description: partial 16S ribosomal RNA
Rfam family: Bacterial small subunit ribosomal RNA
Source: RNAcentral